Molecule: ribosomal RNA, 253 nt
Filed under: uncultured bacterium
Lineage: Bacteria
Description: partial 16S ribosomal RNA
Rfam family: Bacterial small subunit ribosomal RNA
Source: RNAcentral
GACGUAGGGCGCGAGCGUUGUCCGGAUUUAUUGGGCGUAAAGAGCUCGUAGGCGGCUUGUCGCGUCGACCGUGAAAACUCGCAGCUCAACUGCGAGCCUGCGGUCGAUACGGGCAGGCUAGAGUUCGGUAGGGGAGACUGGAAUUCCUGGUGUAGCGGUGAAAUGCGCAGAUAUCAGGAGGAACACCGAUGGCGAAGGCAGGUCUCUGGGCCGAUACUGACGCUGAGGAGCGAAAGCGUGGGGAGCGAACGGG